Molecule: long non-coding RNA, 401 nt
Filed under: Rattus norvegicus (Norway rat)
Lineage: Eukaryota; Metazoa; Chordata; Mammalia; Rodentia; Muridae
Description: long non-coding RNA NONRATT033358
Source: RNAcentral
UUUGGGGGUAGGUGUUGUUGUAUUGGGUUUUCGCUUCUUUUUUGAGGAAAAAAAUAAUAAAGUUGCGGGGGAAAAGAACCUGGAAAGACUUCGGGGAGGGGACUAAUAGUAUCAAAAUGUGUUUAAAUUUAAAUUUUGUUUUAAACAAUAAAAGAAUAUAACAAAAAUUAAACAUCCACUUGUCAUAUUUUCACCAUGUCUUUUGCUCCUCUGUUAUAUUUUCCCUCUAGAGACUUCCACCCAGGUGUUCAUAAAUAGUCCCUGGUCUUAUGAGGAUAUCUCCAAGAUUAAAUCUGAAUUUUGCUCGUGAUUCCAGAAUUAUCAAGACAAUGGGUCAGCACCCACUCCCUGAACACAGCAUCCAGAGAUGGGACACGCCGACACACUGUGCUUCAGAGAAC